UACGGAGGGUGCAAGCGUUAUCCGGAUUUACUGGGUUUAAAGGGUGUGUAGGCGGGUCUUUAAGUCUGUUGUGAAAUCUCCGAGCUCAACUCGGAAACUGCCUUGGAUACUAUUGGCCUUGAAUUAUGUUGAGGUUGGCGGAAUAUAACAUGUAGCGGUGAAAUGCAUAGAUAUGUUAUAGAACACCGAUUGCGAAGGCAGCUAACUAAGCAUAUAUUGACGCUGAGGCACGAAAGCGUGGGGAUCAAACAGG
This 253-nucleotide ribosomal RNA is filed under the name uncultured bacterium. Its description in RNAcentral is "partial 16S ribosomal RNA". It matches the Rfam family "Bacterial small subunit ribosomal RNA", at positions 524 to 776 of the family's 1533-position model. The record is from RNAcentral.